GCUUCGCGGACACGCUGGGCUGGGUUUCAGUCGCGGCUCCGAGGUUGGCAACAAAGAGGGAAAGAAGGAGGAAAAGCAGGCCGGGGAGGGGAGGAAGAGAACCGCGCGGAGGCCGCGGCGCCGAGAGCCCCAGAACUUCCAAUUCUACCCAGAAGCUUUUUUCGUCGUGUUUUUCUCUUAGGUAAACAAGCAAGUUCCACGCCCCAGUCCUGCUGGGGCCUUCGCCAGCCACCGCUCUGGGCUCAUCUCCCGGCGCCUCCUCGGGGCACCUGAGCGUUUUAAGCCCCACUGCCAAGUGUUUUGGACACAGGUUUUUUUGCGGGGUGGUGAGGUUGGGCACAAGAUGCUUCCUAAAAGGUUGUUGGCACGCAGACCAUGGCCCCAGUGACGGAGCGGUAGGCAGGGGCUUGAGGAACACGCUGUCUUUGUCUCGUCCCCAAAGCACCCGGCCGUGGGUCACCCGUGAUCCCUGGAGUGGAGGGACUGUUGUGACCCCUGGUGCUCCAGGAGAAGGGGUUCCAUGCUGGGUCCCGGGCCCAGGCCCACGGUGCCCUCAGCCUGCAGUUCUCCACCUUGCGGAAUGAUUUGCUGGCCCGGCCCAGCUCCCCGGCACCACCAUUUUCUGCCCUCUUUUCCCUGCCUGGCUUCAAACCCUCCCAGGCAAGGGUCCCGAGGAGACACCUGGGCUGGGGGAGGCAACUGAGUGGCCCCAGGCCUGGGAAUCUGCAAAAGUGGCCAAGCCACAUCUCUCGAGACUGCAAGGGCCCUGGAGGCGCUGGGAGGCACAGAUCUGGCUGCCAGCUGGGCCUGAGGCCUCCCUUUGUCCGUCCUUCCUGUUCUUCCUCACCAGACAUGAUCCUCUCUGAGGUUGGUCCUGGGCUUCCAUACGUGAUUCAUGGAAGAGGUCUCAGCCCCAAGAGCCCCUGAGGGUACUGUCCACUCCCCCUGGAAACUUCCAGAACCUGACGUGGGGCUGAAGACAUAGAGGCCUAGGAUGGUCAGCCUCGCACGCUCCACAGCAGAGUGACUGAAGCUCUAUCGAGGUGUGGCACGAGCGUGUUGUCAUUUCAAGAGAAUCUGCAGCCUCCCUGGUUUUUAAUGAAAGCUCCUAUGCAGGGCCUGGCCCUUUCCUGGGGAGGGAAGGCUGGCUGUGUCUCCCGCUGCAUCCUCACUGGGAACUUCAUUCCUGAGCUGCGACCGCUAUUUUUUGGAUUGGAAAAUGCCUUGGGAACGGCUCAUCUUCCUGCGGCUUGAGCCCAUUUGUUUUCUGACUGGUGGUCACUGGUGAUUAGAGUGUGUCCCAAAGGGAACCGUCACCUUAGUUCUAUCAUACACUAUCAAUAACUUGUCCAGGGCUGACUUUGUGGCUGUGUGGCUUGCCCAGUGGUAGAGGGCCGGUGUGCAGAAGGGCCCCACACUCAAUGUUUGGCUGUCCCCGGUCUUAAAAUUCUUAGUCAUUCUUGAACAAGGGAACCCAUAUUUUCAUUUUGUUCUAGGCUCUGAGAGUUACAUAAUUGAUUCUGACUUUGGCUGUUGGUCAACAGUGUCAUAAGGUAAAAUAAGGUAAAAAUCUAUGAUUUUUAUAUUUCUUUUUUUCUUUCUUUCUUUUUCCUUUUUUUUUUUUUUUUUUUUUUUGAGACACAGUCUUGCUCUGUCACCAGGGUGGAGUGCAGUGGCGCAGUGGUGCGAUCUUGGCUCACUGCAACCUCCGCCUCCCGAGUUCAAGCGAUUCUCCUGCCUCAGCCUCCUGAGUAGCUGGGACUACAGGUGCGCACCAUCAUGCCCAGCUAAUUUUUGUAUUUUUAGUAGAGACGGGAUUUCACCAUGUUGGCCAGGGUGGUGGUCUCGAUCUCCUGAACUUGUGAUCCGCCCACCUCGGCCUCCCAAAGUGCUGGGAUUACAGGCGUGAGCCAACGUGCCCAGCUGAUUUUUAUAUUUCUUUUACUAAAUUCUGUUUACAGAAAUAAUUCCAGAUUCUAUGUAAGAUACAAAUAUUUUAACUGAAGAUCAUUGUAUUUAGGGAAAAUGUUCACCUUUAAGAGACAGGGGCUGGGCGUUGUGGCUCACGCCUGUAAUCCCAGCACUUUGGGAGGCCGAGGCUGGUGGAUCGCACGAGCCCAGGAAUUCCAGACCAGCCUGGGCAACACGGCGAAACCCUGUCUAUGCAAAAUAUACAAAAAUUAGCCAAGCAUGGGGGUGUGCACCUGUAACUCCCAGCUACUCCAGAGGCUGAGGUGGGAAGACUGCUCAAGCCCGGGAGGUCAAAGCUGCAGUGAGAGACCUUGUCUUAAAUACAAACAGGCAGGAAGUCGUUAUAAGCAUAAUACAAUCCUGGAUGUUGGAAUCAUCCCUGUCCAGCCUUGGCUCUGCCACGUGGGUGCUGAAUGCUGCCUCAGGGACCCUGGUGCCCAGCUCCCACCUGCAGGGUGUUCUGAGGAGCCAGCACGCUGGGAGGGCCUAGCAGGAGAUGUGGCAUGAACCAGGUAUUCGAUAAAUAAAAAGUGCCUUUGAUUGUCACGUUUAUCAUUUGACAUGUAGGCACAGGUGCAGUUUGAUUAUUUUUAAUGUAAGUCUAUUUUAUCUCUUCCCGUUAUAAAAGCAAUACACACUGUGAUAGACGGUUUGGAGAAUUCAGGAAAGAAAAAGAAAAAGAAAAAAAAUUCCUCCUAGGCCCUCUGCUCCAGAGCCUCCAGCCGUCACAUGACAGUGUAUUUCUUUACAAUUACAGAAAUAGAUACGUGACUGUUACAUUUUGAAACUUUUUCUUUUACCUUGACUUAUUUUUAAAUAGAAACACUAGUGAGGCCCCACAGAACUGAGCAGAACUAAUGGCCCCCCAUGUGGUGGAAUAGUUCUGAGCUGGCCCCACUUUGGAUGCAGCCUUCCCCGGCAAGUCUAAACCCAGUCUCUGUGGCUGCCUGUUCACAGGGACCGUGGACUGUGAUGUUUACAGUACGAAAGCACUGGGAGAGAACGCUACAUCACAAAGUGUCCUUAACCUGCUGCCGCCUCAGCUUUCCCAUUUGUGACUUGGUUAAAAAAAAUUUUUUUGACAGUUUUAAGCUCUUAUUUUAAUUUCCACAGGCUGUUGUAGAAUCUGCUCAGCCAGGGAGGGGAAAGGAGUCGGCAAUCAGGUCUCCUCCUGGGCACCUUUGUGAGGCCAGCUGGCGAGAGUGGGGGGUGACACUGAGGUCCCAGCAGCUCCAAAUGCAGGCAGAGCCCUGUCCUCAGAGAAGGUCACAGCCUAGCCAAGCCCAGCCAGGUGGAUGGGCCCACGGAACGCACAGGAACCUGGAACGGAGGUUGAAAGCAGGAAGCACAGUCUGUGACUCCCCAGCCCACUCUGCAUUCGACCACUUGGGGCCCAGAAGCUUCAGGAAAGGUGCACAAGGUCACUGGGUCCCAGUACUCCCAACAGGAAGGUCUGGUCCAGGGACAGGGCUCUUCCCGACUCCCCUUAGCCACACGCACCAGAAGUUCUGCAGUGCCCAGUGGGCAUAGCAGUCCCCAAGAAUGACCCAGCACUGAAGCUGAGCCAAAGAACUUGGGGAGCGAGCCACACCCCCUCACUCCCUCUUCGCCUGCUCCAGACUUGCCAGGCGGUUGCUUUUCGUGGGAACCGGGAUGUCCUCACCACCCUGUCCAGGGCCCAGCCCCAUGUCCCUGGCCUGCUACAGCUGGAAAAAAAAAAGAGAGAUGUUUGUUUUUAUUUGUUUAUAAAAAGAAAAGUGUUAUAUAUAUAACAUAUUAUACCUCAUGAAUACAUACAAUUAUUUGUCAAUUAACAAUAAAGAAAAAUACAGCAAGCAAAAAAGACUCUCUUCCACAAAAAUAGUGUUCAUUACAGAAAAGUACAAAAAAAAAAAAAAAAAACUAAGAGGAUAUUUAGAAUUAAGAAAAAACUAAGAGGGUAUUUAGAAUUAAAAAAUAAAAAGAAAACAAUUACCCAUGAGGUAAUUACUGAAUGCAUUUGGUUGAAAGUCCUUCUGCUAUAUUUUCCAAACUGUAUGUGUAUAUAUGUGCGCAUGCAUAUAUGUGUUUGUGUGUGUGUACACAUAUCUAUAUGAAUGGACCAUAUCGUAAGUUAUAAAUGCAUACAUAUAUUCAUGUAUAUAUAAUCAUUAGAUCAUACUAUAGGUUAUUUUACAGUCUUUUUGUUGAAUACGUUGUGAGCAUUUUAUGUCAUUAUUUUCUACAAGAUUUGAAAAAUAAAGUAUAAAUACCAGUUAAUUUUUGAAAUCAACCUUAUUAAGGAAUAAGUUCCAUGCAGCAAAAUCCCUUUCACCUCUACUGUUCGAUGAGUUUUGACAAUGUAUGCAACCGUGACAUGUAUCACCACGAUCAAGAAAGAAAACAUCACCACAAAAUGUUCCCUAGAGCCCCUUGCAGGCAGUCUCUGACUUCCUGGCAGCCAGCAAUCUGAAUCCAACCACCGUAGAUCAGUUUCAAUUUAUUAAAAAAAAAUUUUAACUCAUGGAGUAUGAACUCUUGCUCGGGAUCCUGCUAUCUAUGUUGUUGAGUUUAUCAAUAGCCCAUUCCUUUUUACUGCUACGUGAUAUUUUAUCAUAUGCCUAUUGACAUUUGUUUACCCACUCACAUACUGAUGGACAAUUGAAUUGUUUGUGUUGUCUGUUUGUUUGUUUUUUGAGACAGGGUCUCACUGUCACCCAGGCUGGAGUGCAGUGGUGCAAUCUCGGCUCACUGCAACCUCUGCCUCCCAGGCUCAAGUGAUCCACCUCGGCCUCCCAAAGUGCUGAAAUUACAGGCGUGAGCCACUGUGCCUGGCCUGUUUCUGAUUUUUUAAAAUGUUUGCUAUUGUGACUAGAACUUUGUGAAUGCCAAUUAAUUUUUACAGUGUUUUAAUGAGCAAUGUCACCCGCACGUGCUGUGAAUGCCCACGCAUGUGGGCACAGCCUGUGUGUUUCCUUCCUGGAGCACUUGAGAUGGGGAAACCAAGAGAUGGGGGGUGAAGAAAGGAGCCAGAGGCCACACAGCUGGUUAGGAACAGGCUAGGGGAACCCAGCCUCUAAAUCCCAGUAUUCCAGGACAACAUGCUGCCAUACUCUCACAACACUUGCCUGUAUCAGAAAUGCUUGUAAUUUUCCCACACAGAGAAAUUUCCAUGAAAAUCAAGUUGUGGGCUGAGAGAUGAAAGGCAGCCUCAUGUUAAUUAGGCAGGCUUUGGUUUGGUCCGUCCACCAAGCUCAGGGGUGUGUGUGAAUAUCUCUAUUUUCAUACACACAUGCACACACGCACACACACACACACACACACACACGGACACGUCGCUCACACCCACCAACGCCAGUGGCGAUGAUCCAGUCCAGAUCUUUUCUAUACUGCCUUCAGAGCACGUGGCCAGACUGGCUUCUGACUUUACAGUCGUGGCACAUGCUGGCCCUGGACAGGAGGCCCUGGCUUGGCUUCUGAGCAUCCAUUCAGCAGACUUGUCUUAAAGGAUGUCUGAUUAUUUCCGCAAAUCAAAUCUCCCCUCAAGGACAAAGUUCAGGCUGCUGGGGAGAUUCAAAGGGAUGAUCUGUCUGCAAGACGGCUGCUUCCAAAAAGGUGUCACGGCGGCCUGGGAGUGGCUGUGCCCAACAGAAGGCAGGGGAAGAGGAGGUGCUCCUUGGAGUAUGGGCACCCUGGGUGUCUGUAGAGGAUUCUUGGGCCACUCUACCGUAGCUCAGCAUUGAAACAGAGACAAUGUUUGAUUUUGCUCACUUAUUAAUUAGCUCCUAGUUAUGUGUCCAAUGGGGCUAUUUCCAUGAUCUUAUUGAAUCCUAAAUAACUAUUAUCCUGCUUUUACAGAUGAGAAACGUGAGGCCCAGAGAGGUUAAGAAACUUGCCCAAGGACACACAGCAGUGGGUACUCAGUCCAAGAAUGCCCAUUCUUUGCAGACACAGGCUUCUCAUCUGAGUUAGAGGUCUCUGCCCAUUUGUGGCUAGCAGGCUCCAAAGAACACACGUUCACUUGGAGCUAGCUCGGGUAGAACCCUAAACAAUUCUAGUGUGCUUGGAGGACACAAAUGGUGCAGACCCCCACUUCCUGUUCAGGUCUCUGAGGGGCCCUCCCUCCUCAGACCACACCCCACUGCUGAGCAGACCUCUAGCACUUGUCCUGGCCCCCAUUCAAAAAGGCAAAUGUCAGCUGGGCGCGGUGGCUCAUGCCUGUAAUCCCAGCACUUUGGGAGGCCGAGGCAGGCGGAUCACGAGGUCAGGAGAUCGAGACCAUCCUGGCUAACAUGGUGAAACCCGUCUCUACUAAAAAUACAAAAAAAAAAAAAAAAAAAAAUUAGCCGGGCUUGGUGGCGGGUGCCUGUAGUCCCAGGUACUCCGGAGGCUUAGGCAGGAGAAUGGCGUGAACCCGGGAGGCGGAGCUUGCAGUGAACUGAGAUCGCGCCACUGCACUCCAGCCUGGGCGACAGAGCGAGACUCUCAAAAAAAAAAAAAAAAAAAAAAAAAGAAGGCGAGUGUCCGGUCCCUGAGUUGAGCAAAGAAGAAUCACCUCCUCUCAGCCCUCGGUCCACAGUCUCCAUGGUCUUGAAGUCAGCGGGCCUAAGGAGGCCUCUGUCCACGGGAGAUGAAACCAGGAAAGGAAGGGCCCAUUCUCUCAGAAAACAUGUGUUUUCUGUUUACAGAGGGACCUGUCCAGUUCCCAUGCUUUGUUCUUUAAUAUGGAGCCAAAAAAAAAAAAAAAAAAUCAAAUGCGCAGCUUCCGCUCUGAGGUACACUUGAAGGCUAGAAAGUCCGGAUUGCUGCGGGCUCAUUGUGCUGGGGUGUCCUAUCUGCUGCUGACGUCCAGCAUAUACCAACCUGGAAAGCCAAGGAAAAAGCCAGACUGCCCCCUCCGCAUUACAAGGGAGGACGGGGUACAGAGGGGAGAGGCAGCCUCGGCACCCUGGGGGCUGGCUUGACACUGUGUGAGCACACUGGGGGUGUUCUGUUGUGCACUUGUAGCCCUGGCACCACAGGCCCAGCAGGCUUGGCGCCACACACCGGCCAUUCAGAUCCUGGGCAGAGGGCAUCCUUUCCCACCCCAAGCAAAGGGAGGCAGAGUAUUGGGAGAUCUGGGGUAACCAGUGGGUGGGAAUCUCCAGGCAACCUGGGUCAAGCUGAGGGAUGCUGAGCACCUUCAGAGUUGGGAGAGGGGCUUAGCUCUGGGUAAGCGGGUCUUCCAACUCGAGGAGGCAGCAGUGAGCUAAGGUAAUCAACAGAGCUGCCAGCCAGCUACACCUACUGAAGGGAAACUAUUAUCACAGGAUGCCGGCUCAGCACACAGGCUAACAGCUGAGAUUCAGUAUCAAGGAUCUGGGUCCAAAUCUAGGCUGUGUCCCUUUGCCCUCCAGGGCCUCUGGCAAGCUGCUUCUCUGACCUCGGCCCCUCAUCUGUGAAAAGGGGUGGCAUGCACGUUUAUACAGCUGCCAGGAGUACUGAGAUAACACAUUUACGUCUAAGUCCAGGAUGGCCUGGCACAUGCUUUUCAAUACACGGCAGCUGCCGUUGACAUCUCGGGGCUUUAGACUUCACCGAAGGGGCACUCUGGCUAGAAACAGCUCACCAGCUUAGGCUGUCACAGCCAGCGGAGAGGGGGUCCUACAAUCCCUCCCACCCAGGGCAGACCCCGACUAAGACGGGAGGAUGCCUCGCUGGGCCACACCUUCCUCCCUGUGCAGAAGGGGUGACAUCAGUAACCGUGGUUGACAACGGAGCCUAGGGUUCUGAUGUCACUUCUGCCCGGGUGGUGCGUCCAGCUUAGGCUGAGACGAGGGGUGGCCCUCGACCCAGUGCACAGGGUCAGCCCUGGCUCCGCGCCUCCGACCUCUCGGGGGCUGCAGCAGGGCCUGGCACGCGUGUCCCCGGGGCCGGGCCGCUGGCCCCUUUCAUCUCCGCCUCCCGGCUGUCCGGCCUCUACGUCCCGCGCACCUGGGGCCAGACGGGGACAGCAAAAAACCAUCGCAGGAAGCGCGCACGACCUCGUUUGGGACCAGCCCGCCUCCCGGGCGGAAGCCGCGGCGCCUUGGACUGGACGGUCCCGCCCGCUCUUCCGUCCCGCCCCGGAAGUCAGGACGAGGGCGCGACGCGCGG
Molecule: long non-coding RNA, 8085 nt
Filed under: Homo sapiens (human)
Lineage: Eukaryota; Metazoa; Chordata; Mammalia; Primates; Hominidae
Description: HSALNT0406449
Source: RNAcentral